Molecule: ribosomal RNA, 253 nt
Filed under: uncultured bacterium
Lineage: Bacteria
Description: partial 16S ribosomal RNA
Rfam family: Bacterial small subunit ribosomal RNA
Source: RNAcentral
UACGUAGGGACCAAGCGUUGUUCGGAUUUACUGGGCGUAAAGGGCGCGUAGGCGGCGCGGUAAGUCACUUGUGAAAUCUCUGAGCUUAACUCAGAACGGCCAAGUGAUACUGCAGUGCUAGAGUGUGGAAGGGGCAAUCGGAAUUCUCGGUGUAGCGGUGAAAUGCGUAGAUAUCGAGAGGAACACCUGCGGCGAAGGCGGGUAGCUGGGCCGACACUGACGCUGAGGCGCGAAAGCCAGGGGAGCGAACGGG